Molecule: ribosomal RNA, 963 nt
Filed under: Salmonella enterica
Lineage: Bacteria; Pseudomonadati; Pseudomonadota; Gammaproteobacteria; Enterobacterales; Enterobacteriaceae
Description: partial 23S ribosomal RNA
Rfam family: Bacterial large subunit ribosomal RNA
Source: RNAcentral
AGACCCGAAACCCGGUGAUCUAGCCAUGGGCAGGUUGAAGGUUGGGUAACACUAACUGGAGGACCGAACCGACUAAUGUUGAAAAAUUAGCGGAUGACCUGUGGCUGGGGGUGAAAGGCCAAUCAAACCGGGAGAUAGCUGGUUCUCCCCGAAAGCUAUUUAGGUAGCGCCUCGUGAAUUCAUCUCCGGGGGUAGAGCACUGUUUCGGCUAGGGGGCCAUCCCGGCUUACCAACCCGAUGCAAACUGCGAAUACCGGAGAAUGUUAUCACGGGAGACACACGGCGGGUGCUAACGUCCGUCGUGAAGAGGGAAACAACCCAGACCGCCAGCUAAGGUCCCAAAGUCAUGGUUAAGUGGGAAACGAUGUGGGAAGGCCCAGACAGCCAGGAUGUUGGCUUAGAAGCAGCCAUCAUUUAAAGAAAGCGUAAUAGCUCACUGGUCGAGUCGGCCUGCGCGGAAGAUGUAACGGGGCUAAACCAUGCACCGAAGCUGCGGCAGCGAACGUAUCACCCAAGACAACUUUGCACAGUUGACGAUUGACGGAGCGGAGCGACGUCAAAGCGUUUCACAACGUCGAGUUGGCUUAGGGAUACGUUCGUUGGGUAGGGGAGCGUUCUGUAAGCCUGCGAAGGUGGCCUGUGAGGGUUGCUGGAGGUAUCAGAAGUGCGAAUGCUGACAUAAGUAACGAUAAAGCGGGUGAAAAGCCCGCUCGCCGGAAGACCAAGGGUUCCUGUCCAACGUUAAUCGGGGCAGGGUGAGUCGACCCCUAAGGCGAGGCCGAAAGGCGUAGUCGAUGGGAAACGGGUUAAUAUUCCCGUACUUGGUGUUACUGCGAAGGGGGGACGGAGAAGGCUAUGUUGGCCGGGCGACGGUUGUCCCGGUUUAAGCGUGUAGGCUGGUUUUCCAGGCAAAUCCGGAAAAUCAAGGCUGAGGCGUGACGACGAGGCACUACGGUGCUGAAG